GAAUAAUUAACAUAUAAGUUAAUGUUUAUAUUUUGAAAAUAUAAAAAAAGAAUUUAAUUCUUAUUAUUCU
This 70-nucleotide transfer RNA is filed under the name Bactrothrips quadrituberculatus. RNAcentral's name for it is "tRNA-Ser". Lineage: Eukaryota; Metazoa; Arthropoda; Insecta; Thysanoptera; Phlaeothripidae. The record is from RNAcentral.